CAUAGUUGGGUUGUACCUUCCUUAGGUGUCAAAUGUGAUGCUGUACCUGGUCGUUUAAAUCAGACCUCUAUUUCGGUACAACGAGAAGGAGUUUACUAUGGUCAGUGCAGUGAGAUUUGUGGAACUAAUCAUGCCUUUAUGCCUAUCGUCGUAGAAGCUGUUCCUCCAGAAUUGGGUCAAUCACGUUUAUUAGAAGUCGACAAUAGAGUGGUUGUACGAGCAAAAAGUUAUAUACGUUUUAUUGUAACAUCUGCUGAUGUACAUCAUAGUUGGGUUGUACCUUCCUUAGGUGUCAAAUGUGAUGCUGUACCUGGUCGUUUAAAUCAGACCUCUAUUUCAGUACAACGAGAAUAGGUUUACUAUGGUCAGUGCAGUGAGAUUUGUGGAACUAAUAAUGCCUUUAUGCCUAUCGUCGUAGAAGCUGUUCCUAGGAAAGAUUAUGGGUCUCGGGUAUCCAAUCAAUUAAUCCCACAAAGCACGGAAGCUUAAGCGGAAAUGAAAGAGGAGGGUGAGGGAAGCCACUAAAUUGAGGGCUUCGCUCGCUCGCUCUAACGCUCGUUUAGUAGACAGCGAGUGGAGUGCAUAAGCCCCUUUAGAGAUAGGGGUGAGUACUACACGAGCUCGUAAGUAAAGUACGGAACGAGC
This 645-nucleotide long non-coding RNA is filed under the name Nicotiana benthamiana. RNAcentral describes it as "long non-coding RNA (NBEN_LNC012696)". The record is from RNAcentral. Lineage: Eukaryota; Viridiplantae; Streptophyta; Magnoliopsida; Solanales; Solanaceae.